GGUGGAGCAGUUGGUAGCUCGUCGGGCUCAUAACCCGAAGGUCGCAGGUUCAAGUCCUGCCCCCGCAACCA
Molecule: transfer RNA, 71 nt
Filed under: Paenibacillus popilliae
Lineage: Bacteria; Bacillati; Bacillota; Bacilli; Caryophanales; Paenibacillaceae
Description: tRNA-Met
Rfam family: tRNA
About the family: Transfer RNA (tRNA) molecules are approximately 80 nucleotides in length. Their secondary structure includes four short double-helical elements and three loops (D, anti-codon, and T loops).
Source: RNAcentral